CGAGAGAGUUGAGAGACUCGCCAACCCUUUGUGAACCUACCCGAAGCAGUUGCCUCGGCGGGCAGCCCCAGGGCGGGGCCGCGCCUCCCUCGCGGGAGGUGCCCGCCGGAGGCCCUUUUAAACUCUUGUUUUUACGGUACUCUGAGUCACUAUAAAAAUAAAUCA
This 165-nucleotide unclassified non-coding RNA is filed under the name uncultured fungus. RNAcentral describes it as "sequence contains ITS1, 5.8S rRNA gene". Lineage: Eukaryota; Fungi. RNAcentral also lists the same sequence under 1 other name. The record is from RNAcentral.